ACGCUCGACACCUACGUGAGGCAGCAGUAGGGAAUCUUCCACAAUGGACGCAAGUCUGAUGGAGCAACGCCGCGUGAGUGAAGAAGGUUUUCGGAUCGUAAAGCUCUGUUGUUGGUGAAGAAGGAUAGAGGUAGUAACUGGCCUUUAUUUGACGGUAAUCAACCAGAAAGUCACGGCUAACUACGUGCAGCAGCCGCGGUAAUCUGAGCGGGCUGGCAAGGC
Molecule: ribosomal RNA, 222 nt
Filed under: uncultured bacterium
Lineage: Bacteria
Description: partial 16S ribosomal RNA
Rfam family: Bacterial small subunit ribosomal RNA
Source: RNAcentral